Molecule: non-coding RNA, 330 nt
Organism: Varanus komodoensis (Komodo dragon)
Lineage: Eukaryota; Metazoa; Chordata; Lepidosauria; Squamata; Varanidae
Source: the annotation of a RefSeq genome assembly
AUGGAGACACAAACGGUGUGGUAUGUGGCUGUUUUCCUCUUGGUUGCAGCCAAGGAAUUUAUGGAGAUGGGAAAAACAGUCAGACUGAAAUGCAUCCAAACCUAUGACCAUGAUGCUAUGCUUUGGUAUCAGCAUCACUGGAAGAUGGGGCUUCAGCUCCUCUAUUAUGCUAGAAUUAAUCUUUCUGGCAUGGAGGAGAAAGCAACCAAUUCUGACAGAUUCAUAGCCGAGGGACUGACGAAUGAUGCUUUUAACUUAAACAUCUCCUCUGUCAAGAUGGAGGAUUCAGCCACGUAUUUUUCUGCUAGCAGCAUACGCAUCUUCUUCGGU